AUGCCCCAGCAGCCGAGGGGUUGGCAGCCCCGGCUCAGCCCCGGUCGCCCCCGGCUCGCGCCGCACAGCUCCUCGCCGCCCCGCGGGCUUCCCGCCUCCGGGCGCGGGGUCGGCGGGGCCGGCGGGGCCGGCGGGGCCGGAGCGGGGCCGGGCGGGGCCGGCGCGGGGUCGCCGCCGGGUCGCCGCCGGGUCGCCGCGGGCUGCAGCACCCCCGCCCCGGCCCAGGCCUCCCGCACCUGCUGGGCGCCCGCGGCUCGUCCCCGGCGCCCGCGCCCCGCCGCGUCCACGUGGAGCUGGGCCCCGCGCCCCGCGCCCGGCCCCGCGCCCGGCCCCGCGCCCGGCCCCGCGCCCGGCCCCGCGCCCCCCGCGCCGCGCCGCCCGCGCCGCCGCGCCCGGGCCCUGGGGCGACCUGUUGAGGACGCGCAGGCCUCGCCGCCGCCGAGCCCGGCCCCGGGGGACGCGGAGCAGCCCCGCCCGGCUCCCCGGGCCCGCCCGCCCGCCGCCCCCGCCCCACGGCCCCGCCGGCCCGCGCCCCGCCCGCCGCACUCACUGGGCCGCGGGCCCCAGGCCUGGCCGCGCGCGAAGGGCCGGCGGCGGGCGGCGCUCACGCGACUCCCCGGCUUCCGGCCCGACCAGGCCCCGCGCGGUCCUCCUCCUGCGCCGCCCCGCCGCCCGCCGCCCGCCGCCCCGCCCGCCGACACAAAGCCCGCGGGCCGCCCGGGGCAGCCGGGAGGGCGGACCCCCAGCCGCCGCCCCCGCCCGCCGCCGCCGCCCCCGCUCCCGGCCAGUCCGCACCAUUCCGCUCCGGCGCUCGCCGCCGCCGCCGCCGCCCGGGCCCGCCGCCCCCACCCCGCCCCCCGGCCCCGGGCGCGCCCCCGCCCCGGCCUCCCCGCCCGGCCCCCGCCGCCCGGCCCCCGGCUCCCCCCGCCCGGCCGCCGCCCUCCCGCCCUCCGCCCUCCGCCCGGCGCCCGGGCCGCCAUGUUUACCGCCCUCGGCCGCGGACCGGCGCCCGGCAGGGAGGGGAGGCCGCGGGCCUGCGGGGCCGCCGCACUUACGGGCUGUGGGCGCCGCGGGCCGGGCGGGGGCGGGCGGGGGCGGGGGGCUCGGCCGCCGCCGCCGCCGCCGCCGCCGCCGCGGAAAGUUUGCGUCCUGCGAGGCCGCGGCGCCGCUCACAUGGCGGGGUGCGCGGGGCGGCCGCUCGCGGGCCCGGCCCCCGCUCCUCCGCCCGCCCCCGGCCGCCGCGCUGGGCUCGGGGCUGCGGGCUGCGGGCUGCGGGCUGCGGGCCGGGGCUGCGGGCCGCGCGCUCCCCCCGCCCCGGCCGCGCCCACACCCACCUUCCCUGCGCCCCGUCCGCCGCGCGGGCCCGAGCGGCCCUCCGCAUGUUCCCCGCCGCGCACAGGCACCGGCCGCGGCGCACGUGAAGGCGACGUACGUGCGGGCGCGCAAAGCUCCGGGCGCUCGCUGCACCGCCGGGCUGGGGCGCGGGCCGCGGGUGCGGGCGGGCGGGAGGGCGGGAGGGCGCGGACCCGCACCGCCCUGCUCGGUGCUGCGCGGUGCUGCGCGGUCCUGCUCGGUGCUGCGCGGUGCUGCACGGUCCUGGAAGAUCCUGCUCGGCCCUGCACGGUGCUGCGCGGUCCUGCUCGGUGCUGCACGGCCCUGCUCAGUGCUGCACGGUCCUGCUCGGUGCUGCGCGGUGCUGCACGGUCCUGGAAGAUCCUGCUCGGUCCUGCGAGGCCCUGCUCGGUGCUGCACGGUCCUGGAAGGUCCUGCACAGCCCUGCUCCGCCCUGCGCGGCCCUGCACGGUGCUGCUCGGUGCUGCACGGUCCUGCUCUGUCCUGCGAGGCCCUGCUUGGUCCUGCUCGGUCCUGCACGGUGCUGCGCGGCCCUGCUCGGUCCUGCACGGUGCUGCUCGGUGCUGCACGGCCCUGCUUGGUGCUGCACGGUCCUGCUCGGUGCUGCACGGUGCUGUGCGGCCCUGCACGGUGCUGCACGGUCCUGCACCGCCCUGCACGGUCCUGCACGGCCCUGCUCGGUGCUGCACGGCAUUGCUCGGCCCUGCUCAAUGCUGCACGGUCGUGCACCGCCCUGCACGGUCCUGCACUGCCCUGCUCGGUGCUGCUCGGUGCUGCACGGCACUGCUCGGCCCUGCACGGUCCUGCACAGCGCUGCUCGGUCCUGCACCGCCCUGCAGGGUGCUGCUCAGUGCUGCACGGUCCUGCACGGCCCCGCACUUCCCUACACCGCCCUGCACAGCCCUGCACCUCCCUGCACGGCCCUACACCGUCCUGCACGGCCCUGCACUUCCCUGCUCGGCCCUGCACCGUCCUGCACGGUCCUGCACAGUCCUGCACCGUCCUGCACGGCCCUGCACCGUCCUGCACUGUCCUGCACGGCCCUGCAGCGUCUUGCACCGCCCUGCACCCUUCUGCACAGUCCUGCACCCGCGCAGCUGCCUGCUGGGGCGGCGGGACCGUGCGCCUUAG
Molecule: long non-coding RNA, 2484 nt
Filed under: Canis lupus dingo (dingo)
Lineage: Eukaryota; Metazoa; Chordata; Mammalia; Carnivora; Canidae
Description: lncRNA (ENSCAFG00020003244.1)
Source: RNAcentral